AUAUAUGGAGAACAUCCUACAGUUUUGAAUCAAUUGCUCAAGAUAUUUCCAUUGGUGAAUACCAAUCAUAUAUCUGGUAAACUCUGUGUAGAAUGUACUGAUCUUUUCAGUACAAUGACUAUAUUGUUUGGUUAUCAUUCGGAUGAGGGUUUACUGAAGAAAUUGGCAGAAACCAUGUACCAUUUUGGAACCAUCGCAGCUAUUAGAGAAAGGAUAAAGCAAGCUACUGAAAUUUUGUGCACUAAACAUGUUGACGAACUGCAAGCUUUCCUUUCGAACCCUACCAAGCACGUGUGUAAGGCAUCUCUUAGAGUUGCUGUUUUAUUUUCCCAUUUCAAUUUGACUGAAAACUUUACCUGGGAGAUAUUGUGUGACUGUUGGGCAGACGUGAAUGAGAAAACGAUUGCCAAUCUUAUGAUCUGUUGCAAAUGGUUCUUGAUUUGGCAUUUGCGGAAUUUAUGGGAUAUGGCUCAGAAACAUCAGACAAAAGAGCUUUCGAAUAUGUUCACACCACUCUUACAUAAGUGUAAUGAGUUCACCAGUUCAUGUAUCAACAUGAUUCAACAUUUGCGAGGCGAAAAAUUACAUUUUCA
Long non-coding RNA from Leptinotarsa decemlineata (Colorado potato beetle), 593 nucleotides. Lineage: Eukaryota; Metazoa; Arthropoda; Insecta; Coleoptera; Chrysomelidae. The record is from RefSeq and is a predicted model, not a curated record.